AGUGAACGCUGGCGGCGUGCUUAACACAUGCAAGUCGAGCGAAUUUCUGCAGCGUAUCGCAGAAGUUAGCGGCAGACGGGUGAGUAAUACUUGGGCAAUCUGCCCUCGAGAGGGAAACAACCUGCCGAAAGGUGGGCUAAUAUCCCGUAAGACCACAGGAUGGCAUCAUCCAGGGGUCAAAGCUCCGCAAGGGGCGCUUGAGGAGGAGCCUAAGGUCUAUCAUGGUAGUUGGCGGGGUAACGGCCCACCAAGCCUUUGACGGAUAGCCGG
Molecule: ribosomal RNA, 270 nt
Filed under: uncultured bacterium
Lineage: Bacteria
Description: partial 16S ribosomal RNA
Rfam family: Bacterial small subunit ribosomal RNA
Source: RNAcentral